Molecule: ribosomal RNA, 472 nt
Filed under: uncultured bacterium
Lineage: Bacteria
Description: partial 16S ribosomal RNA
Rfam family: Bacterial small subunit ribosomal RNA
Source: RNAcentral
AGUGAACGCUGGCGGUAGGCCUAACACAUGCAAGUCGAACGGCAGCACAGUAAGAGCUUGCUCUUACGGGUGGCGAGUGGCGGACGGGUGAGGAAUACAUCGGAAUCUACUUUUUCGUGGGGGAUAACGUAGGGAAACUUACGCUAAUACCGCAUACGACCUACGGGUGAAAGCAGGGGAUCUUCUGACCUUGCGGGAGUGAAUGGGCGGAUGGCGGAUUAGCUAGUUGGGGGGGGAGAGGCCCACCAAGGCUGCGAUGGGUAGCUGGCCUGAGAGGGUGAACGGCAACAUGGGGACUGAGAGACGGCCCAGACUCGUACGGGAGGCAGCAGUGGGGAAUAUUGCACAAUGGGCGGAAGCCUGAUGCAGCAACGCCGCGUGCGGGAUGACGGCCUUCGGGUUGUAAACCGCGUUCGCCUGUGACGAAGCGUGAGUGACGGUAAUGGGUAAAGAAGCACCGGCUAACUACGUG